Non-coding RNA from Lasiosphaeria hispida, 87 nucleotides. The record is from the annotation of a GenBank genome assembly. NCBI's taxonomy places the organism in Eukaryota, Fungi, Ascomycota, Sordariomycetes, Sordariales, Lasiosphaeriaceae.
GGUUGUAUAGUGUAGUUGGUUAUCACAUGGGAUUCUGAGGCAUUCCUGGAGCUUCCCAUGACCUCGGUUCGAGUCCGAGUACGACCU